GGCGCCACAGACACCUCUGUCAGUCAUUUGUAAAGAGGAGCAGCACGGCAGCUGGAUGAGUGCGGUCAGUUAAUUAAUGCUGCUUGCUUAAUUUCAUGUUACUGAUUAAGUGUUUAUACUUAACGUUAGAUGAGAUGUUGGUGUUUUAUUGCUCGCGAAUUUGCAAUAACUGCAUUUAUCAGGCAUCACACGUUACGUCACACGCUUAUGCUUGUAUCUGCGGUCCCUCGCGCUGUAUCCAUGAUUUAAAGCGGAAUAAAACUCUUAACUCCUUUGUAAGGAAAAAGUCAAACAGUAGCCCUUCAAAUUAAAAAUAGUGAUGGUGAUCUUGUCAAUGCUGAGAUUUUAAUGCAUCAACAGCCAUUACAUCUGUCUGGAUCAGGAUUGAACAAGAAUCCGACAGCAAGGGUUGUCAGAUCAGAAACGUAAUAACACAAACAUAAGAAACUUCACAGGGCUGUGACAGUGACAGUAUUUUACCACUGCGAUGGUAAUGCACCAAUUCACCACUGUGGUGCGGUGGUUAUAGAAUGUGUUUGUGUGAGGGGGGAGGCGGCAAUUUCUUUUUCCGCCGGUGGGUGCUCAUCACAACCUCAAGCUUUACUUCGCAAUGCCAGGUGCUCUAGAGCCUGGAGCGCUCAAAGGCUUUGAAGAGGUGGAAAGUGGCGCAGUCACGUUUUCGUGUGAAUUGUGAAGUUAAAGGCAGAUCACCGUGCAACUUGGUGAAGUCAUGUGUCUUUCCAGAUGGCCAAAUCUGUACCCCUCAAAAAAACUUUAUUAAAUGCCAUGAUAGACAAGAUGAGCCUUAAGAGGAGAUUUGGGAAGAUGCUGUUUCAUAAGUCUUUGCUUUGCCAGAUUAUUUGUGGUUGGGGUGUCUGCCAACGUGAUGCCUUGCUGGUCUGGUUUGAGUUUGAAGUCUCUUACAGACAGUCCAGAAGGUCUGGAGUCCAUCUUAGCUUUCAUUGAACCCUUUAAGGUGUAGAAACAUCAAGACCAAUAGGAGACACCUGAGCUAAAUUCCAGAUGCUGUCAUCAUUUUUUAAGUGCAUGAGCCAGAAUGGACGGGUGGUGGUGGCCAUAAGAAGACUGUCAACUAAACUAGGGUGACCAUAUGUGCCAUUCUUCCCGGACCCGUCCUGUCCAGUCUUUUGGAACUCGUAUUUGUCGACCGCAUACGUCA
Molecule: non-coding RNA, 1180 nt
Organism: Paramisgurnus dabryanus
Lineage: Eukaryota; Metazoa; Chordata; Actinopteri; Cypriniformes; Cobitidae
Source: RefSeq, a predicted model, not a curated record